Molecule: ribosomal RNA, 492 nt
Filed under: uncultured bacterium
Lineage: Bacteria
Description: partial 16S ribosomal RNA
Rfam family: Bacterial small subunit ribosomal RNA
Source: RNAcentral
AGUGAACGCUGGCGGUAGGCCUAACACAUGCAAGUCGAACGGCAGCACAGUAAGAGCUUGCUCUUACGGGUGGCGAGUGGCGGACGGGUGAGGAAUACAUCGUAAUCUACUUUUUCGUGGGGGAUAACGUAGGGAAACUUACGCUAAUACCGCAUACGACCUACGGGUGAAAGCAGGGGAUCUUCGGACCUUGCGCGAUUGAAUGAGCCGAUGUCGGAUUAGCUAGUUGGCGGGGUAAAGGCCCACCAAGGCGACGAUCCGUAGCUGGUCUGAGAGGAUGAUCGGCCACACUGGAGCUGGAACACGGUCCAGACUCCUACGGGAGGCAGCAGUGGGGAAUAUUGGACAAUGGGCGCAAGCCUGAUCCAGCCAUACCGCGUGGGUGAAGAAGGCCUUCGGGUUGUAAAGCCCUUUUGUUGGGAAAGAAAAGCAGCAGGUUAAUACCCCACUGUUCUGACGGUACCCAAAGAAUAAGCACCGGCUAACUUCGUG